Long non-coding RNA from Mandrillus leucophaeus (drill), 1039 nucleotides. RefSeq lists it as uncharacterized. The record is from RefSeq and is a predicted model, not a curated record. The transcript has 3 exons. Lineage: Eukaryota; Metazoa; Chordata; Mammalia; Primates; Cercopithecidae.
GAGCUCAGAUUGCGCUACUGCACUCCAGCCUGUGUGGCAGAGCCAGACCCUGUCUCAAAAAAAAAAAAAAGGCCUUGGGCUGGGCACAGUGGCUCACUCACAUCUGUAAUCCCAGCAUUUUGGGAGGCCGAGGUGGGCGGAUCAUGAGGUCAGGAGAUUGAGACCAUCCUGGCUAACGUGGUAAAACCUCAUCUCUACUACAAAUACAAAAAAAAAUUAGCUGGGUGUGGUGGCAUGCACCUGUAGUCCCAGCUACUCGGGAGGCUGAGGCAGGAGAAUCGCUUGAACCUGGGAGGGGGAGGUUGCAGUGAGCCGAGAUGGCUCCAUUGCACUCCAGCCUGGUAAGAGGGAGACUCCGUCUCAAACAAACAAACAAAAAAGCCUUUAUUGGGUGACAGGACCAAGCCUUGGUGAGCCAGGCUGGGGAGCUCAUCAUCUAGCCCAGUCUUUUCAAAAACGUCAAAUUGACCUAUGUAGGGAGAAGUGGGGCCCUGGCUGAGAAACUAGAGCUGGGCCUCUUCACCAGAUAAACCUCUUGGUAUGGUGAUGCCUGGAGACUGGUAGAGGCAGCCACGGGCUCCAGCAGCAUAAAUGCUUUCAGGCAACAGGCUGAAACACCCUUCCAGAAUCCCAGCUACACACCUGACCAGGCACAGUGGCUGACGCCUAUAAUCCCAGCACUUUGGGAGCCCGAGUUGGAGAUCAGCCUGGGCAACAAAGGGGAGAUGCCCCAUAUCUACAAAAAAAUACAAGGACCCGGGCACGGUGGCUCAUGCCUGUAAUCCCAACACUUUGGGAGGCCAAGGCGGGUGGAUUACCUGAGGUCAGCAGUUCAGGACCAGUCUGGCCAACAUGGUGAAACCCUGUCUCUACUAAAAAAAUACAAAAAAUUAGCUGGGCAUGGUGGUGGGUGCCUGUAAUCCCAGCUACUUGACAGGCUGAGACAGGAGAAUUGCUUGAACCUGGGAGGUGGAGCUUGCAGUGAGCUAAGAUCACGCCACUGCACUCCAGCCUGGGUAACAGAGCAAGACUUCAUCUC